Molecule: unclassified non-coding RNA, 154 nt
Filed under: sea anemone metagenome
Description: partial contains small subunit ribosomal RNA and internal transcribed spacer 1
Rfam family: Eukaryotic small subunit ribosomal RNA
Source: RNAcentral
GCUACUACCGAUUGAAUGGUUUAGUGAGGACUCCUGAUUGGCGCCGCCGCCCCGGCAACGGAGCAGCGGACUGCCGAAAAGUUGUUCAAACCUGAUCAUUUAGAGGAAGUAAAAGUCGUAACAAGGUUUCCGUAGGUGAACCUGCAGAAGGAUA